RNAcentral lists this ribosomal RNA (494 nucleotides) under uncultured bacterium. RNAcentral describes it as "partial 16S ribosomal RNA". It matches the Rfam family "Bacterial small subunit ribosomal RNA", at positions 28 to 507 of the family's 1533-position model. The record is from RNAcentral.
GACGAACGCUGGCGGCGUGCUUAACACAUGCAAGUCGAACGGAAAGGCCUGCUUUCCCUUGUGGAUUGCGGGUACUCGAGUGGCGAACGGGUGAGUAACACGUGAGUGAUCUGCCCCCAACUUGGGUAUAAGCCUGGGAAACUGGGUCUAAUUCCCGAUAGGACUGCAGGGUGGUGCCUGUGGUGGAAAACGAUUUUCUAGUGGUUGGGGAUGAGCUCGCGGCCCAUCAGCUUGUUGGUGGGGUAAUGGCCUACCAAGGCGGCGACGGGUAGCCGGCCUGAGAGGGUGGACGGCCACAUUGGGACUGAGAUACGGCCCAGACUCCUACGGGAGGCAGCAGUGGGGAAUAUUGCACAAUGGGCGGAAGCCUGAUGCAGCGACGCCGCGUGGGGGAUGACGGCCUUCGGGUUGUAAACUCCUUUCGACCGCGAGGAAGCCACCUGGUUGGAAGGGUGGUGACGGUAGUGGUAGAAGAAGCACCGGCUAACUACGUG